This 1677-nucleotide long non-coding RNA is filed under the name Felis catus (domestic cat). RNAcentral describes it as "lncRNA (ENSFCAG00000044234.2)". The record is from RNAcentral. Lineage: Eukaryota; Metazoa; Chordata; Mammalia; Carnivora; Felidae.
GCAGAAUAGUGUGGACCUUCCGGUCAGGCCAGGCCUCCCUUCCUGCCGUUCAAAUCCCAGUCCCAGCCUCUUGCGGCUUCUGGCUUCUCCUGCUGCCUCUCCCGGCCCUUGAACCCCGAGGACAGAACAGCAGGAGGCGUCCGCACAGCCCCGUCCCCGGCAGAGAAAGACGGCACAGAGCAUGAUUUCCUGGAGCCCAGUCAAGGAGCAGUUCCCCAGUGCCAGGAAACCCAGGGACGGAAACUGUGGCUGCGGGACCCAUCCACGGGACGUGCUGUCGGGAAUAAGCCCAGAGAGAGGAGGAGUGCGGCCGAACAGAAGGGCCAGACCUGCCCCGGGGGCGCCGACCAGGAGGUGACCUCUGCCGGGUUCCUUUAAGACCGUGGGAUGUAACUCUGAGAAAAAGCGGCUUUCGGGCAGAAAGUGUUUAGAGCAGACCGGGUUCAUCAGGCUUUUCUCUAAUUGCACACCUUCUCAGAGCCUUCACUCUCUGAGGUGAAGUCCAAGGUGGGAGCAAGGGCUGUAGCAGAUUCAGGCUCAUCUGACAGAGGAGCACAGUGCUGGGCAUUUUGUGGGACUGCUGUUCUACGGGGACGCACCGGGAGGAAGGCGUGCCGGUGUCCCUGCAAGUGUCAGGACACAAGCUCCGUGACGCGGGGAUCUCAUCUGCUUUACCCGUGUCCCCAGAGUCGAGUACAAUGUCCGGCACAGUAAAGAGUGGAUCAAUCAAUCAGUCGAUGUGUGCAGGGCUCUCUGCUUUCUUCGUUCUUGUUUCUUUCCCUUCCUGCAAAGCCAUGUCCUCCCAACCUUCCUUCUUGUUCUUCCUUCCAAGUGUUUACCGUGACAAGCUCUGUGCCGAUCCCGGGGACACAUUAGUGAAAGAAAACAGGCCUGCUGUGUGCUCACUAAUCGCAGAACGAUGUGUGCCUGCUGAGGCAGCCUCCCUUGGGAACCUUGGUGACGGAAGGGGAAGGCCCAGAGGAGAGUAUGACCAAAAGGCCAUGUGGUGAGGAGAGAGGAGGAAAGUUACUCCUUCGUUCAUUCAGAUAAUACUGAACAUCUAUGUGACUGAAAUGCCGGAGAUCCAGCAAAGCGAUACCCAGGCUCUUGGCCUUGGAGACUCAGUAGGUGAGUCAGAUAUUUUUCAAGUAUUACACAGAAAGUAUAAAUCGCAUCCGUGGGCAGUUCUCUGAAGGAGAAAUACAAGACACUAAGAGAGAUUCUGAGAGGGCUGUGGCAUGGUCAAGGGGAUCAUCAAGGUGGCUUCCCUGAGGAAGGAAUGCUUUAACUGAGAUCUCAGACAGGAGAAGGAAUUCGCAAAGUGAGUGUGAGUGUGGAAGGGGAGGAGCAGGAAAUGUUUCAGAGAGUCAAAAACACAUGCAAAGUCCCUGUGGCAGGAGACAUCUUGGUGCUCUCUGGAGACAGAGAGCAAAGGGUCGGGUGAGGUCCUGAAGUUAGAGCAUAGGAAGCCAAUGAAAUAUCUCAAGCAAAGGAGGGGACGUGAUUCUAUUUAAGUUUGGAAAAAGAUUCCCCUGACUCCUGUGUAGGAGGAUUUGCUUCCUCUUAACCAUUGAGAGCAGGCUUGGCAAGAAGGGACUGGGAACUAAUGGGCAAGUCAAUUUCUUUGGCCAGGCUUCAGUUUCCCCCUCUCCCUAGUGAGUUUGGCUUCAGCGGUUG